RNAcentral lists this long non-coding RNA (865 nucleotides) under Hordeum vulgare. RNAcentral describes it as "long non-coding RNA (HVUL_LNC015817)". The record is from RNAcentral. Lineage: Eukaryota; Viridiplantae; Streptophyta; Magnoliopsida; Poales; Poaceae.
GCACCGAUAAAAUAUUAUUUUCCAAACUGUGUACAGAACAUUCUCGGAAUGGGUUGAGAAUUGACGUGUGGUCUUUUUUUGUAGUUAGACCACCUAAAACUUUUGUCGCAUUCAGAGUUCGUUUGAUACCCGAACCAUUAAAUAUAUAACGGCACUAAACUCGGUUUAAUUAUCGGAGGUUUUAUGGGUUUAAAAACAAUGUCACAGACUGCCAUCUUCCCUCUUAUCUCAGCCCAAGACCCCCUACACAUCCCACUAGCCCAGCCUAGCCUACCCCUCCGUUUUGGAUCGACCGGUCGAGAUUUGACGGUCCGAAAUCAGGAAAAAUAGCUAACCCUGCCAACCGUAGCUCCUCCCCAUCGACCCUGCCUUGCCGGCGCCGCCGCCAACUAAAGCGCCAUCGCCGUACCUGACUGUCCCUCGCUAGAGCCGCCUCGUUGUUUCCCAGCUCCUCACAGGCGAUGCCAAGCCGCUGCGCCAUGCCGCGCCCCCGCAUCCCGCUGCCUCACUAAGCGGCCGCUGACCGCCUCCCGACUUCCACCGACCGGAUCUGGGUUCCGACGCCCAUCACAGCCACUGUCCCUUUCCUAGCGCCAAAUCCAUCCGCAGGCAACCCAGCCAUGACCGCAGUUCCAGCGCGGGCUCCUGCAUCAUUGGGAGGACGGUGCCUCGACCUACCCCUCGUCGUUGUCCAGUGCAAGGUGGGUUAUGCGAGUGCCUCGCCCCAUGGGCCGCUGACCGCAUGAGGCCCAACGCCAAGGCUUGCCUCACCCGCAGCCAGGUCGUGGCCCAUCCACUGCCUCCUCUAGCCGGCCCAACCUCGUCACCCAACUGCUCGCCCCGUGGUCCUCCUUGCCGACUUGGG